GGUGUAUAGCUCAGUUGGUUAGAGCGCACGACUGAUAAUCGUGAGGUCCCUGGUUCAACUCCAGGUACA
RNAcentral lists this transfer RNA (69 nucleotides) under marine eukaryotic metagenome. It matches the Rfam family "tRNA". Rfam says of the family: Transfer RNA (tRNA) molecules are approximately 80 nucleotides in length. Their secondary structure includes four short double-helical elements and three loops (D, anti-codon, and T loops). Further hydrogen bonds mediate the characteristic L-shaped molecular structure. tRNAs have two regions of fundamental functional importance: the anti-codon, which is responsible for specific mRNA codon recognition, and the 3' end, to which the tRNAs corresponding amino acid is attached (by aminoacyl-tRNA synthetases). tRNAs cope with the degeneracy of the genetic code in two manners: having more than one tRNA (with a specific anti-codon) for a particular amino acid; and 'wobble' base-pairing, i.e. permitting non-standard base-pairing at the 3rd anti-codon position. The record is from RNAcentral.